This is a long non-coding RNA of Phyllopteryx taeniolatus (common seadragon), 8065 nucleotides long. RefSeq lists it as uncharacterized. NCBI's taxonomy places the organism in Eukaryota, Metazoa, Chordata, Actinopteri, Syngnathiformes, Syngnathidae. The record is from RefSeq and is a predicted model, not a curated record. The transcript has 3 exons.
GAAUGUGGAAAGUGGGAGUGAAGUGGCUUGACUGCGGGAAAUGCAAACUGCGUUUGUGGCGAGAGGAAGAGAAGAACGUUGAGGGUGCGAUAGGAGUCAUACCAUACCGGGAUCGAUCUUCAAGGACGUGAAAAGUCCACGACGGAGUUGGCGGGGAGGCUCAACUGUGCCGUGAACGGCUCAGAGUGGGGAGAUCCGGUAACUGACAACGGCGAUGGCGUGGAUGUUAAGUGUGAGAGCGAAGGGACCAAAAAGCAAAGGGUGAAUUCAAGGGAUGAUGAGGUUGGACAGGGAAACAACAUGGUGGUGGUGGUGGUGGAGAGGGAAUUUAAAGUGAUUCCUCGGUUGAAUGACGAGAAAGCCCUUUUUUCUCUAAGUCCAGUUCCUUAAAAAAACAACUGGGAGAAUGAUAAACAAGCCAAAGUCUUGUAAUUGUGGAGGGAAUCACAGCGUGGCGUAUGGAGAUGAAAAGAGGAGGGCAGGGUGAAAAACUGAACAACAUGGGCAGACGCCGUCGGGGUGGCGAAGAAGCAGAGUGAGGGAGAGAAGUGCGAAACCGCAAAAUGAACCAGAACAAGCAGGUGAGGGAAAAGUUUGGGUAGAUCGCAAGAGACUUACAACAUUCGUUGCAGGUGUUAGGAAUGCAACGAUGGGAAUUAACUCCAAAACAGAAAGAAUACAAAUUAUACUUAGAGCAGCAGAAAAUCAUCUUAAUAACAAACAGCUACUCCCCACACGUGACAGAAUACUUGGGCCACUAUGGACCCAGCAACUGCGGAGGCUCCGAAGAACGCACUAACCCUCCAAGGCGCCCACAUUGGACGGCAGGACAAAAACCUGCAAGAAAUCACCGAAACGCUCCACUCCCUUUCGCAACAUGUCUGCCUCCUUUCCCAACAGAUGCAAUCCAUUCAACCCCCUGUAAGUACUCCUCCCGAGUCCGCAGCCUCCCAGCCAAAGAACCUCACGUCCCUCCGCCCGAGCCCUACUCCGGGGACCUAGGUGCAUGUAGCCAGUUUAUUCUAAAUUGCUCACUCGUAUUCAAUCUCCCACCGAACGUUCCAAAGUAGCCCAUGUCACUAACCUCGUCCGCGGCAAAGCAGCAAAAUGGCCCACUUCAUUAUGGCAAAACUCCUCUCAGGUACUUCAUUGAUUCGAUUCUUUUUCCGCAAAGUAUUUGAUCACCCAGUUCAGGGCAAAGAAGCCUCACGCUCACGCAGGGCGCUAAAUCGGCAGCGGAAUAUUCCAUUGAGUUCCAGAUAUUGGCGGGUGAACGCGGGGCGGGACGACGCGGCGCUCGGAGGGAUUUUUUCAAAUGGCCUCUCCGACCGACUCGAGGAUGAGCUAGCGGUCCGGGACGAGCCCGCCGCUCUCGAGGAUCUCAUCGCUCUUUCCAUUCAGCUUGAGAACCGACCACGAGAGAGGAGGGUCCGCGUAUGUAAGAAUCCUCCCGCUGAGAGCACCGCGCCGUCAACUUCUCACCCGCCUCCCGCACUUCCGUAGCUCCCACAAAGCCCAUGCAAAUUGGUAAAACGCGUCUAGACCCACAGGAGCGUCGGCGUCGAGUCAUCCAAUCCGGUGCCUUUAUUUCCUCACGAUCAAAAGACCAAGCUCACCGAGAGCGUGGCGGUGAGCCAAACCUCCGAUCCCUCAAGCGCUCCGUCUCGCAUGACCGUUCCCGCUUGCGUUAUAGUUUCCACCAUGACUGCCCUUAUAGAUUCCGGUGGCGAUGACAACUUCAUUCAUGAAGCAAUAAUUCACCAGCUCCAACCACUUCCAUCCCCGAAGAAAGUCAAAGCAUCUAACCCUUUUCCCACCAAAGCGUGCCAUUCGCCUUGCUCGUUUCGGGUCAUCGAACUACUGCAACAACAGGACAUUUUCUUAGCACUACCUCAGCAACAGCAGGAACACCGGGAAAAAGCUUUGUCAUAAUAAUCAUGGAAUUAAAAAAACACGGACUGGAUGCACUUUCACUGGAGAUACGAUAGUAAUUGUCUGCCGCCGCUUUGAAAAUCAACCAGUGGUUCCAUGCGAUGUCAUGACGAAUGGGAUGAGAACACGGUGCAACAGACAGGACAGACACACGGAGACCAUCGCCUCGUCCUACUUCGAUGGCAUGUCACUUAUCGGAACAAAAGAACCUUGGAGAAAGCUGGCACCACUACUCGGUCUUCCUUGUUCCAAUUUGUUCAGUGACGGCAAGGGGAAGCGAAAUCUCACAAUACCUGCCCGGGGAAGGAAGAUGACAUCAUUCCGCUACAAUGAAAUGAGUCAUUUCAGCUUCAAACACGGGCAGAAGGAAAAGAGAGAAGCCUUUGUCAGCAAAAUACAAGGUUCGUAUCAAUCUGAAACGUUACCUAUGAGCUGGAGUCUUAUUUUUGGCUUUCAAUAUCCCUCCCAGACACAGAAAAGCCUCUCCUUGAGCCGUCGCCUUAUCGUGUGUGUGUCCCAAUCGGCCUAGGUCCUAAGUUGCCCCUGGUAGGGUCACCCAUGGCAAACAGGUCCAAGGUGAGGGACCACACAAAGUACGGCUCCAAAAUCCCCGAUGAAGAAUAAAUCAAAUGGAUCUAGGUUUCCCUUGCCCAGACCUGGUGGCCGAGCCUGCACCCUUGGGGCCCGGCCGGGCACAGCUCGGAAGGGUAACGUGGCAAACGUUACCGACGUGGUCCUCCAUGGGCUCACCACCCGUGGGAGGGGCCAUAGGGGUCCUUUUGCAGUGUGAGCUGGGAGGUCGCCGAAGGCGGGGACCUUGGAGAUCCGAUCCCCGUCUACAGAAACUGGUACUAGGGACGUGGAAUGUCACCUCUCUGACAGGGAAGGAGCCCGAGAGCUGGUGUGUGAGGUUGAGAAGUUCCACACACGGCUUGGGGUCUGGUACCAGUCCUCUUGAGAGGGGUUGGACUCUCUUUACCACUCUGGAGUUGCCCAUGGUGUGAGGCACCGAGCAGAUGUGGGUAUACUUAUUGCCCCCGGCUCGGCGCCUGUACGUUGGGGUUCACCCUGGACGACGAGAGGGUAGUCUCCCUCUGCCUCCGGGUGGGGGGGACGGGUCCUGACUGUUGUUUGUUUCUCUGCACCAAACAGCAGUUCAGAGUACCCACCCUUUUUGGAGUCCUUUGAGGUGUUGCUGGAGAGCGCUCCCGCUGGGGACGCCAUCGUUCUGCUGGGGGACUUCAAUGCUCAUGUGGGCAAUGACAGUGAGACCUGAAAGGGCGUGAUUGUGGGGAACGGCCCCCCCAAUCAGAACCCGAGUGGUGUUCUGUUGUUGGACUUCUGUGCUCACCAUGGAUUGUCUUUAACGAACACCAUGUUCAAGCAUAAGGGUGUCCACACGUGCACUUGGCACCAGGACACCCUAGGUCGCAGUUCGAUGAUCGACUUUGUGGUCGUGUCAUCGGACUUGCGGCCGCAUGUCUUGGACACUCCGGUGAAGAGAGGGGCGGAGCUGUCAACCGAUCACCACCUGGUGGUGAGUCGGCUCCGAUGGUGGGGGAAGAUGCCGGUCCGACCUGGCGGGCCCAAAAGUAUUGUUAGGGUCUGCUGGGAAUGUCUGGCAGAAUCCCCUGUCAGAAGGAGUUUCAACUCCCACCUCUCACAACUUCAUCUACGUCUCGAGGAAACACAUUGAGUCAGAGUGGACCAUGUUCCGCGCCUCUAUUGCCGAGGCGGCCGACUGGAGCUGUGGCCGUAAGGUAGUCAGUGCCUGUCGUGGCGGCAAUCCAUGAACCCGUUGGAGGACACCAGCGGUGAGGGAUCCCGUCAAGCUGAAGAAAGAGUCCUAUUGUGUUUUUUUGGCCUGUGGGACUCCUGAGGGAGCUGAUUGGUACCGGCUGGCCAAGCGGAAUGCGGCUUUGUUGGUCGCUGAGGCAAAAACUCUGGCGUGGGAGGAGUUCGGUUGAGGCCAUGGAGAACGACUUCCAGAUGGCUUCGAGGAAAUUGUGGUCCACGGUCCGGUGUCUCAGGAGGGGGAAGCAGUGCACCAUCAACACUGUGUAUAGUGGGGAUGGGGCGCUGCUGAACCUCGACACGGGACGUUGUGAGUCGGUGGGGAGAAUACUUCGAAAACCUCCUCAAUUCCACCGACACGCCUUCCCAUGAGGAAGCAAAGUCUAAGGUCUCUGAGAUGGGCUCUGCUACCUCUGGGGUUGAGGUCACCGAGGUGGUUAAAAAGCUCUCUGGUGGCAAGGCCCUUGGGGAGGAUGAGAUUCGCCCGGAGUUCCUAACGGCUCUGGGUGUUGUAGAGCUGUCCUGGUUGACACGCCGCCUUUUCAACAUCGCGUGGACAUCGGGGACAGUGUCUCUGGAUUGGCAGACUGGGGUGGUGGUCCCCCUUUUUAAGAAAGGGGACUGGAGUGUGUGUUCUAACGACAGGGGGAUCACACUCCUCAGCCUACCUCUCUCAGGGAUGCUGGAGAGGAGGGUCCGUCGGGAAGUCGAAUCUCAGAUUCAGGAGGACACAAUUGACAUUGUGAUCUGCAGUGAAAGCAGGGAGCAGCUGGAGGAACAGUUAAAAAGAUGGAGGCAUGCACUGGAAAGAAGAGGAAUGAAGAUUAGCCGAAGUAAAACAGAAUAUAUGUGCAUGAAUGAGAGGGGUGGUGGGGGAAGAGUGAGGCUACAGGGAGAAGAGAUAGCAAGGGUGGAGGACUUGAAUUACUUGGGGUCAACCGUCCAGAGCAAUGGGGAGUGUGGUCAGGAAGUGAAGAAACGGGUCCCAGCAGGUUGGAACGGGUGGAGGAAGGUGUCAGGUGUGUUAUGUGACAGAAGAGUCUCUGCUCGGAUGAAGGGCAAAGUUUAGAAGACAGUGGUGAGGCCGGCCAUGAUGGACCGAUUAGAGACAACAGGAAGCAGAGCUGGAGGUGGCGGAAAUGAAGAUGUUGAGGUUCGCUCUCGGAGUGACCAGGUUGGAUAGGAUUAGAAAUGAGCUCAUCAGAGGGACAGCCAAGGUGCGAUGUUUUGGAGGCAAAGUUAGAGAGAGCAGACUUGGAUGGUUUGGACACGUCCAGAGGGGAGAGAGUGAGAGUGAGUAUAUUGGUAGAAGGAUGACGAGGAUGGAGCUGCCAGGCAAGAGAGCUAGAGGAAGAACAAAGAGAAGGUUGAUGGAUGUCUUGAGGGAAGACAUGAGGGCAGUUGGUGCGAGAGGAGGAUGCAGGAGAUAGGCUGACAUAGAAAAGGAUGACGCGCUGUGGCGACUCCUGACGGGACAAGCCCAAAGGAAAAGAAGAUGAUUACUUUUUUUAGAAAAAGUUCCAUGCGACAAUAGCGCACCUCUUUCAAAUGUGGCGGCUGCUGGUCGUGUGUAAUUGGCUGAAAGCGCAUAUAGGUGGAACUUCCGCUGAAACCCCUCCAUUCCGGGGGUUGGCACGAGCGCUCACGAGGAAUGGUUUGAAGGAAAAGGAAGGAAAGGGAAAGAGACGCACUUCAAGUGCAGGUUGGCCGGCGCGCUGGCAGUGGCAAUGCUUGCCACGCGGUCAGGAAAAAAACUCGCACCGCAAUUGCUUCCCAACGGGGCCUCGUCCGUAAACUGCCCCUUACCCAAAAGGGUAGCUUUGGGGAGUUGGAAGGUGCUUUCUGCGGAAGCUGGGCGUCCCCCAACCUCCCGCAGCUCGUGGUGAGAGGUUGGGGGCUUCCCGGGCUGGGCCAGGCCUUCGGCAGGUGGAACAACGAGAGUGAGAGAGCCAGAGACAAAAGGAGCUUCGGCCUUUUAUCCACUUCAGAGAGCGCUUCCUUUUGACCAAACGGAAGGCAGACAGAAGCGCAUUUCACUUUAGUCGAAUUUGUGGUUUAAAACCAGUGGAAUAAAAUAUGAAUUCUUGGAUUGAAGCUAAUGAGAGAGAGCGUCGUUGCGCUUUGCCUUGUCACACGCCCAUCCUCUUUAUUCCCGGUAACGAAUGUUUCGAGUGUAUGUGAUUGUUGGGAACACGAAUAUUUGCAAUGUGGCAUUCGUGUCGUGGGGUGAAACAUUGAACAUCCGGUUCGGUUGGCAACAGAUUACGUCAACGUAAAAUUCUUAAAAUAUUACGUCACAUCUAAAUAGUGGAAUGUGCCGACUCUUGGGCAAAACUCUGGUAAUCCUUACUCGAAUAACAGCAGGUGACAGAUGAUUUAUGUAAAGGACAGCUGAGAGUCUGAAAGUGGCUCCUUGUUGCCAGCAAGACGUGUCAAAAUGUGACUGUUUACGACUGUCAAGCGUUCCAUCGGCCCACCGCCUAAUGGACCAAGAGCGCCUCCGAGAGGGAGAUGAAUGCCAUGACCACCUCGGGAUUACAGACACCACGAGAGAGCGAGAAACUCCGAAUUAGUCACCAGUUGGAUUGCAUGUUAAAUGAACACCAGAUAGCAUUAAAACGAAAUAUAUAUGAUUGUAUUGCAUGACUUCAUUGUAUUCAAAAAUAUCAACAAGAGUGCUGAGACAUGAUUAUAAACUUAACGUGACACAAUUAGAUACUCUGCCAUUUUCGGGAAACUUGGUUUGAGCCAAUCAAGACCAAGGGGAGGGUUUUAGAAUGAGGCGGGUACGUCCCGGAUGGAGUGCGUAUAAACGCGCGUCUUAUUGGAACUGUUCAGUACUUUCGUCGCCUUGGCGAAUUGCUCUGUUUAUUUGGAGGCGUCUAACAAACAUCCAGUGGUCGGCUCAAGCUACUUGUCUUUCGGCUUCAUUUCGAGUCUUUGUAUAUUUCUUAAACCGUAGCGAGCUAAAUUCGAAUUCAAAUCCAUCGCUUGGCCACCAUCUUCUGAGCAGAAGGAGAGCGGGCGGAGGCCGGGGACAAGCGUGACAAAGAAAGCGACAAUUCGAGACACCACAAUCGCUCUGAAAUCGCCAGCGAGCCACACAAAAAAAAAAGGCAGGAAGAGAAACGGUCGGACUCUCCCAACAAGGCGCGACGAACAACAUUUUCGUUUUGUCUUCUGCAACCAAAUCUGUCUCCUUGCUUCCUGAGACCAGACCACCAGCUUGAACCUCCGCUCGAGGGAAACGACAAGCUUCAAACAAAAUCUCCACUUUGUCCUCUCUCUCGCACGCGUUUUCCACUUCAGUCCAACACACGAUGUUCUAUUUUCCACUCUUGGUUGUAUUUUGUGUGCGUUCUGAGUUUAAUUAAGCCUCUGUCAAAGUCAACAUUUCAUAAAGUGUAGCAACCGUCAGAUUACAAGUGAUAAAAAGGUUUCUCGUCACUUACUCUAAAUUUUAUACAUUGUGCCCCCUUUACUAGAUAAAAUAGUUUGAUUUUAACGAUUAAACUUAAAAUUACGCUAAACCGGAAGCAACGCAGCUAUCGCUUCCGGCUUAUUUUUUUCCUCCUAAAUUACAUUUGUAUUCAACUAAUAUACACUACAACCGAGCCACCUCAUCUGGAUCCUCUCAAUACGGAGGAGCAGUGGCUCGACUGUGAGGCCUUACAGGACGGAAAAGCUUCUUCACCAGGCACUGCUCAUCACCUGCCCUAUACAGUCCCCACAGCGAAGCAUGGUGGGGGCGUUUUUCAGCUGCAGGCACAGGAAGAUAAGAUGAAUGGGGCCAAGUGCAGGGAUAUCCUGGACGGAAAUCUUCUCCAGAGUGCUCGGGACCUCGGACUGGGCCGAAGGUUCACCUUCAAAAAAGACGAUGACCCUAAGCGCACAGCUAAAAUACCGAAGGAAUGGCUUCAGAACAACUCUGUGACUGUUCUUGAACGGCCCAGACAGAGCCUUGACUUACGAACCCAAUUGAGCAGCUCUAGAAAGACCUGAAAAUGGCUGCCCACCAACGUUCACCAUCCAACCUGACAGAACUGGAGAGGAUCUGCAAGGAGGAAUGGCAGAGGAUCCCCAAAUCCAGGUGGGAAAAACCUGUUGCAUCAUUGCUGUAUGAGCUCAAAAGGCUGCUUCGACUAAACACUGAGCAAAGGCUCGGAAUACUGACGGCUGUGUGAUACUGCAUUGUUUCUUUUUGAAUAAAUCUGCAAACAUUUCAACAAUUCUGUUCCCCCCCCCGUCAAUAUGGGGUGCUGUGUGAAAAAAAUGAACUUAAAUGAUUUUAGCAAAUGGCUGAAAAAAAGUGAAAAAUUGAAUGGGGUCUGAAUACUUU